GAUGAACGCUGGCGGCGUGCCUAAUACAUGCAAGCCGAGCGAACAGACGAGGAGCUUGCUCCUCUGACGUUAGCGGCGGACGGGUGAGUAACACGUGGAUAACCUACCUAUAAGACUGGGAUAACUUCGGGAAACCGGAGCUAAUACCGUAUAAUAUAUUGAACCGCAUGGUUCAAUAGUGAAAUACGGUUUUGCUUUCACUUAUAGAUGGAUCCGCGCCUGAUUAGCUACUUGGUAAGGUAACGGCUUACCAAGGCAACGAUUCGUAGACGACCUGAGAGCGUGAUCGGCCACACUGGAAAUGAGACAAGGUCCAGACUCCUAUGGGAGGCAGCAGUAGGGAAUCUUCCGCAAUGGGCGAAAGCCUGACGGAGCAACGCCGAGUGAGUGAUGAAGGUCUUCGGAUCGUAAAACUAUCUUAUUAGGGAAGAACAAAUGUGUAAGUAACUAUGAACGUCUUGACGGUACCUAAUCAGAAAGCCACGGCUAACUCCGUG
This 497-nucleotide ribosomal RNA is filed under the name uncultured bacterium. Its description in RNAcentral is "partial 16S ribosomal RNA". It matches the Rfam family "Bacterial small subunit ribosomal RNA", at positions 28 to 507 of the family's 1533-position model. The record is from RNAcentral.